UACGUAGGGCGCAAGCGUUGUCCGGAAUUAUUGGGCGUAAAGAGCUCGUAGGCGGACUGUUGCGUCCGCUGUGAAAAGCUGGGGCUUAACCCUGGCCUUGCAGUGGAUACGGGCAGACUAGAGGUAGGUAGGGGAGAAUGGAAUUCCCGGUGUAGCGGUGAAAUGCGCAGAUAUCGGGAGGAACACCGGUGGCGAAGGCGGUUCUCUGGGCCUUACCUGACGCUGAGGAGCGAAAGCGUGGGGAGCGAACAGG
This 253-nucleotide ribosomal RNA is filed under the name uncultured bacterium. Its description in RNAcentral is "partial 16S ribosomal RNA". It matches the Rfam family "Bacterial small subunit ribosomal RNA", at positions 524 to 776 of the family's 1533-position model. The record is from RNAcentral.